This is a long non-coding RNA of Schistocerca gregaria, 821 nucleotides long. RefSeq lists it as uncharacterized. The transcript has 3 exons. The record is from RefSeq and is a predicted model, not a curated record. Lineage: Eukaryota; Metazoa; Arthropoda; Insecta; Orthoptera; Acrididae.
AGCCAUGCAGGUCGCCGCGCUGCUCAUCUGUCUGCUGCUGACCGCGAAUACGUCACAGGUUCAGGCGCAGCCCGAGCGCUGGGAGUUAAACUGGAGGGAAAAGGAUCCAGAGGACACUAUUUCCAUUUCAUCAGGGAAAGGUGUCUCAAAUGCUGAGAUUUAUGUAUGACCGGAAGUGCUGCAACUGUUACAUCUUAGGAACAGGCCCAUAAAAAACACUUCAAUACUAUGCCAGCAUGGGUGCUAGGAAGUGAACAAGAAAAAUCAUCAGUGGUAAUUCUGCUGCCUGAAGGCUCAGCAGAUAAUGAACACAUUUUCUGAUGUUCAGAUGGACAAUGAAAUUUAUUCUUUCAAACAUUGUGUCAGUAGGAUAUAAAUAUCAAGAACAACAGAAAUUUACACUACCUUAAACAAAUAAUAAGUUGCCAUUGAGCAGCUAUAUGUAAUAGGAAUAAUGCACAGAAUAACAGAAAUCUAAUUCAAACUCCAUAUAAUACAUCAUAGACUUCUGUUGUCAAACCUCAUCACAGCUCUUCCAAUCCACUUGAUUGAGCUUUUGUUUCUGAUUGGUUGGAAAGAAUGAACUGACAACACUGAGAAAUUACGUAUCUAGUCUGACUGUAACUAUUUUUGCAUGCGGUCAUCACUGUUUUCCUUCCUAGUUAUUUAUGAAUUUCAUGUACAAGGCAUAGAUUACAAGUGUGAAUAACUUUUACACACAUAAAAGUGAAUGAGUGAAAGAUGCAGUCAAAAUAUUUUGUAUGUAUGUAAAUUUGACUUCAAUUCAUUUUUAGCUGUGUUUCUCUGUCAUUCUAAUAACC